This 468-nucleotide ribosomal RNA is filed under the name uncultured bacterium. RNAcentral's name for it is "partial 16S ribosomal RNA". It matches the Rfam family "Bacterial small subunit ribosomal RNA", at positions 28 to 507 of the family's 1533-position model. The record is from RNAcentral.
GACGAACGCUGGCGGCGUGCUUAACACAUGCCAGUCGAACGGAAAGGCCCUGCUUUUGUGGGGUGCUCGAGUGGCGAACGGGUGAGUAACACGUGAGUAACCUGCCCUUGACUUUGGGAUAACUUCAGGAAACUGGGGCUAAUACCGGAUAGGAGCUCCUGCUGCAUGGUGGGGGUUGGAAAGAUUCGGUGGUUGGGGAUGGACUCGCGGCUUAUCAGCUUGUUGGUGGGGUAGUGGCUUACCAAGGCUUUGACGGGUAGCCGGCCUGGGAGGGUGACCGGCCACAUUGGGACUGAGAUACGGCCCAGACUCCUACGGGAGGCAGCAGUGGGGAAUAUUGCACAAUGGGCGGAAGCCUGAUGCAGCAACGCCGCGUGCGGGAUGACGGCCUUCGGGUUGUAAACCGCUUUCGCCUGUGACGAAGCGUGAGUGACGGUAAUGGGUAAAGAAGCACCGGCUAACUACGUG